UGGCAGAGAUGAAGCGGUUGAGUCAGAUUUCCUUCCCUUUUAUUAACUCUGCUGUCCUCGACCGUGUCUCUCUGUAGC
This is a microRNA precursor of Oreochromis aureus, 78 nucleotides long. Lineage: Eukaryota; Metazoa; Chordata; Actinopteri; Cichliformes; Cichlidae. The record is from Ensembl.